Molecule: ribosomal RNA, 305 nt
Filed under: uncultured bacterium
Lineage: Bacteria
Description: bacterial SSU rRNA
Rfam family: Bacterial small subunit ribosomal RNA
Source: RNAcentral
CUUUCCCUACGGGGGGCAGCAGUGAGGAAUAUUGGUCAAUGGGCGGGAGCCUGAACCAGCCAAGUCGCGUGAAGGAAGAAGGUACUUAGUAUUGUAAACUUCUUUUGUCGGGGAACAAAGGCGGAGACGCGUCUCCGGAUGAGUGUACCCGAAGAAAAAGCAUCGGCUAACUCCGUGCCAGCAGCCGCGGUAAUACGGAGGAUGCGAGCGUUAUCCGGAUUUAUUGGGUUUAAAGGGUGCGUAGGCGGGACGGUAAGUCAGCGGUAAAAAUGCGGAGCUCAACUCCGUCGAGCCGUUGAAACUGC